RNAcentral lists this ribosomal RNA (472 nucleotides) under uncultured bacterium. Its description in RNAcentral is "partial 16S ribosomal RNA". It matches the Rfam family "Bacterial small subunit ribosomal RNA", at positions 28 to 523 of the family's 1533-position model. The record is from RNAcentral.
GACGAACGCUGGCGGCGUGCUUAACACAUGCAAGUCGCACGGGACCCGCAAGGGUUCAGUGGCAAACGGGUGCGUAACGCGUGAGGAACCUGUCCAACGGUGGGGGAUAGCCGGCCCAACGGCCGGGUAAUACCGCGUACGACCUUCGGGGGGCAUCCCCCGGGGGUGAAAGCAGCAAUGCGCCGAUGGAGGGCCUCGCGGCCUAUCAGCUAGUUGGUGAGGUCAUGGCUCACCAAGGCAACGACGGGUAGCUGGUCCGAGGGGAUGACCAGCCACAUUGGGACGGAGACACGGCCCCGACGCCUACGGGAGGCAGCAGUGGGGAAUCUUGCGCAAUGGGCGAAAGCCUGACGCAGCGACGCCGCGUGUGGGAUGAAGGUCUUCGGAUUGUAAACCACUGUCGGGAGGGACGAAGCUCUGACGGUACCUCCAAAGGAAGCACCGGCUAACUCUGUGCCAGCCGCCGCGGUAA